UUUCCUACGGGAGGCAGCAGUAAGGAAUAUUGGUCAAUGGGCGAAAGCCUGAACCAGCCACGCCGCGUGAAGGAAGACGGCCCUACGGGUUGUAAACUUCUUUUCUACGGGAAUAAACAUCAGGACGUGUCCUGAGCUGAAGGUACCGUAGGAAUAAGGAUCGGCUAACUCCGUGCCAGCAGCCGCGGUAAUACGGAGGAUCCAAGCGUUAUCCGGAUUUAUUGGGUUUAAAGGGUGCGUAGGUGGAAGAGUAAGUCAGAGGUGAAAGCUAGCAGCUUAACUGUUAAAUUGCCUUUGAUACUGCUUUUCUUGAGUAUAGUUGGCGUUGGCGGAAUGUGACAUGUAGCGGUGAAAUGCGUAGAUAUGUCACAGAACACCGAUCGCGAAGGCAGCUAACGAAGCUAUCACUGACACUGAUGCACGAAAGCGUGGGGAGCAAACAGGAUUAGAUACCCUGGUAGUC
RNAcentral lists this ribosomal RNA (463 nucleotides) under uncultured bacterium. Its description in RNAcentral is "bacterial SSU rRNA". It matches the Rfam family "Bacterial small subunit ribosomal RNA", at positions 335 to 795 of the family's 1533-position model. The record is from RNAcentral.